Molecule: long non-coding RNA, 699 nt
Filed under: Monodelphis domestica (gray short-tailed opossum)
Lineage: Eukaryota; Metazoa; Chordata; Mammalia; Didelphimorphia; Didelphidae
Description: lncRNA (ENSMODG00000049941.1)
Source: RNAcentral
CUCCUCUCUCUCCUUUCUUUCUUUCUUUCUUUCUUUCUUUCUUUCUUUCUUUCUUUCUUUCUUUCUUUCUUUCUUUCUUUCUUUCUUUCUUUCUUUCUCUUUCACUCUUACUAUUCCUUCUUCCUUUCUUCCUUUCCCUUCCUUUCUUCCUUUCUCUUCCUUCCUUCCUUUCUCUUCCUUCCUUCCUUUCUCUUCCUUCCUUCCUUCGUUCCUUCCUUCCUUCCUUCCUUCCAUACAUACUUCCUUCCUUCCUUCCUUCCUUCCCUCAGGCAAAGGACAAAGGGUAGACAACUAAGGUUAAGUGACUUAACCAGAGUUGUACAGCUAGGGUGUAUCUGAGGACAAAUUUGAACCCACAUCUUCCCAACUCCAGACCUAGUGCUUUAUCCACUGAGGUCCUCCCUUAUUUCUUAUCACACUCUUUCCCCCUGAGCAUAUUCUUUCUAUUGGCAGCCCCCAUUUAUCCAGAUACUUCAUCUUGGCCCAUUCCUCUGUUCCUAAAUUCUGGUUUGUCAGUUCAAGUCUUCCUCCUUCUAUAUACUUAACUAGUUUCCAGAGCUUUGUUGGGGGGGGGGGGGUUUGGAGUCAUCGUCCCUGAAAACACUCUGAUAGAAAAGGUUAUUUGUUAUUUAUGCAUACUUGGAUGAAGGUUAAAGUGAGAUGCUGUGCUAGGAUAGCACAUAGAUGUCCCAUCUGUUC